RNAcentral lists this ribosomal RNA (300 nucleotides) under uncultured bacterium. RNAcentral's name for it is "bacterial SSU rRNA". It matches the Rfam family "Bacterial small subunit ribosomal RNA", at positions 336 to 632 of the family's 1533-position model. The record is from RNAcentral.
CUCCUACGGGAGGCAGCAGUGAGGAAUAUUGGUCAAUGGGCGCAAGCCUGAACCAGCCAAGUCGCGUGAGGGAUGACGGUCCUAUGGAUUGUAAACCUCUUUUGUCGGGGAGCAAGGCCCGCCACGUGUGGCGGGAAGGAGAGUACCCGAAGAAAAAGCAUCGGCUAACUCCGUGCCAGCAGCCGCGGUGGUACGUAGGGAGCAAGCGUUAUCCGGAUUUAUUGGGUGUAAAGGGUGCGUAGACGGGAAAUUAAGUUAGUUGUGAAAUCCCUCGGCUUAACUGAGGAACUGCAACUAAAA